GCAAAACCUGUGUAGUGGUAUGAUUCUCGCUUUGGGUGCGAGAGGUCCCGGGUUCAAUCCCCGGUUCGGCC
This 71-nucleotide transfer RNA is filed under the name Caenorhabditis japonica. RNAcentral's name for it is "tRNA CJA47690". The record is from RNAcentral. Lineage: Eukaryota; Metazoa; Nematoda; Chromadorea; Rhabditida; Rhabditidae.